GGAAUAUUGCACAAUGGAGGAAACUCUGAUGCAGCAACGCCGCGUGAGUGAUGAAGGUCUUCGGAUCGUAAAACUCUGUCUUAUGGGACGAUAAUGACGGUACCAUAGGAGGAAGCCACGGCUAACUACGUGCCAGCAGCCGCGGUAAUACGUAGGUGGCAAGCGUUGUCCGGAUUUACUGGGCGUAAAGGAUGUGUAGGCGGAUAUUUAAGUGAGAUGUGAAAUCCCCGGGCUUAACUUGGGGGCUGCAUUUCAAACUGGAUGUCUAGAGUGCAGGAGAGGAAAGCAGAAUUCCUAGUGUAGCGGUGAAAUGCGUAGAGAUUAGGAAGAAUACCGGUGGCGAAGGCGGCUUUCUGGACUGUAACUGACGCUGAGGCAUGAAAGCGUGGGGAGCAAACA
Molecule: ribosomal RNA, 399 nt
Filed under: uncultured Clostridium sp.
Lineage: Bacteria; Bacillati; Bacillota; Clostridia; Eubacteriales; Clostridiaceae
Description: bacterial SSU rRNA
Rfam family: Bacterial small subunit ribosomal RNA
Source: RNAcentral